Molecule: unclassified non-coding RNA, 372 nt
Filed under: Hevea brasiliensis (rubber tree)
Lineage: Eukaryota; Viridiplantae; Streptophyta; Magnoliopsida; Malpighiales; Euphorbiaceae
Source: RNAcentral
GAUAAUAAAGCAGAGGGCAUUGACGAUAUGGACAAGUUCAGAUUUGUUGGUCCAGUGGGUGCAAAGAGAUGCUCAGAUGCAAAAUUUCCAGAAAAGCUGAAAGAUGAUAAAGCAGAGAACAUUGAUGAUAUUGACAAGUUGGGUCAUGUUGGUCCCAUGGGUGCACAUCCUCCAGAAAAGAAGAGAAAUGUUAGAGCACAACGAGUAUUGCCUAAGUCAUUAUGUGGAAACAUUGGCAAUGUAAGAGGAGAACCGGUGCCUGAUGAUGUUCUGUGCUCAAGGAACUUUAAGAAGGUCACAAUAUUGGAUGUGCUAAAAAUGGUCUCGCAGGACUAUAAUUACGAUCCUAGUGUACUAAAUGGUAGUGUCAUG